Molecule: long non-coding RNA, 313 nt
Organism: Xiphophorus maculatus (southern platyfish)
Lineage: Eukaryota; Metazoa; Chordata; Actinopteri; Cyprinodontiformes; Poeciliidae
Exons: 3
Source: RefSeq, a predicted model, not a curated record
CGUGGUUUGAUAACGAGAUAAAAUGAGGCGCAGCCUCAUUAACAUUCUCUCUUCCUUGUCACGGAGCGAGAGGAAGGAGUUGCUGCUGCAAGGAAACUAAAACAUCAGCCGUUUGAAAGCCUAAAAUGCGGAAGGAUGCAUUAGGAAAACCACUUGAGGUCGGGUGUCAGGAGUCUGCUUGUUGACCUAACGCCUCAAUUUUUAGAAAUUUCUACUGAUUUUAAAUGUUAUAUAUCCUGGAAGAGCUACAUGUAAAAAAAGACAGUUUAAAUUUAAAGCCUAAACGACAAUAAAAUACUCUGCAAAACAAAAA